Molecule: long non-coding RNA, 2471 nt
Organism: Ailuropoda melanoleuca (giant panda)
Lineage: Eukaryota; Metazoa; Chordata; Mammalia; Carnivora; Ursidae
Exons: 3
Source: RefSeq, a predicted model, not a curated record
GUGGGUUCCUAAAUCUUCCUUGACACAUUAAUUCUUAUGAAGACUGAGCUGGGAGGGAGCUGCCUAUUAUGGCUAGCUUAGGUCAACACGUCUGGGCUAGUCAUGGUUGCUGAGAGCCAAAAACAACACAGAACUCACCAUCGAGGCCCCGUAGCCCUCAGUUCCGGACAAUCCCCCAAACCAGAGAUUAUGCUGUUGACUAGACUUGACCUGGAGCCGUUACGAAGAAUCAGUAAAACAGGUUUGUGUGUUUGGCUGUGAUUCACGAUUUUUCACAAGUUACUUUUGACGGUGUUUUCAAGUUUAUUCUUGAGUAAUCUGAGCGUGCAAUCUUUGCUAAACAUAUGAGAUGUCAAGAUACUGGUGAGAGAGAUGGGUAGAAUGCUUACAUCAUUUCCAGCCAUGGAAGGUGGAGAACGUACUCCAGGGAUGAAGAAGCACAUGUCAGGGUCCCUCUGAAGGUCUCCCAGAGUGAUUACAAGUCUCCAUCGACAUUCUGUCAUUUUAUUGCAAAGCAGGUUGGCAUAGUUUCAUUGAGUUUUUUCAGCCUUACAUGAGAAAUAACAGGAAGAGUUGCAUUCCCCAGCAAAGAUUAAAGGCACUGGAGAAUUGAUGAUGUCUAUGAAUAUAAAAUGAACCAAGACUGCUCACUCCUGCCUCCACCAAAUGGAACCUGGGAAUUAAUAAGGCAAAUGAUUUGUCAAGAAGUAGACCGUGGGGCUUGGUGAGAUCACAAUGGGAAAGCAGCACGCUGCUGUCUUACCCUGUACCCCCCGCACCUGCCAGCCUCGUUUCCUGUCUGCUCCUUCCCUCUCCCCUAGCUAACUAUCUUCUCUGAAGAAUAACUAAAUCUUCUCAGAUGAAAGUGGCUAAGAAGAAGCUUCUUCAUCUCUGUCCAUUACCCAUUUCUGCACAAAGUACGAGUAGACAUGGAAAGUAUUCACAGGUUCCUCCCUCCUACACACAUACACGCCUGGAUGGAAUCAGUCCCAGAGUAUGAACUGAGCACCGAGCCCCUGACCCACUCCAGUCCCACCACCUGUGCCUUUGCCGUUGGAGCUCCAGUACCCUGCUGGGCAGACUGAGCACUGAUUUACCAGCUCCCUGGGGUCCCCAGGACAGUGAGAGAAGACAAGUUUGGAUUUCUCCACUUUGUGCCAUCUGUUAUUUGGUCUUUCCUCAUCUAAAGCCUUUCCCUUGCAAAUACCAUCCACCUUUCAUGCAUUCCCACUCAGCCAUUUUGGUAAAACUCUUGCCCUGGAUGAACCACUGUCACUUGAGCAGCGAACGCUGCUGGAGACCAUUCACUGGAGAGUGAACGCUGCUGGAGACACAGCUCUAGCUGUGUUUAGUGGCUUCCCUCCAAUUGAUAAAUGUGCACCUACGUUGAUUGCUACCUGGCCUUCCUCCCUUACUCUCCUAGGGGCUUGCUUUGCCACUCUCCUAGGCGGUCAUCGUAACCACCUGAACACAGAGAUGAUCUAUGUCUGUCUUCCUUCCUAACUUCCUUCGUUCUUUCCUUCUUUCCUUCGUUCCGUUGUUACCCAGAAUCAUACUUUAAGGGGGAAAAGAAGAAUCGCUUUAUAUUAGAGUCUUUGCAGAUUUUGAGAAUAUAGUUCCCAAACCAAAUUUCUAAUGAUAACUGAUAUUGCUGGCAUAUAUUAAAAUUUUUGAUUCUGUAAAAUGAAAAAACAGACAUGCCCAUAAUGAAAGAAUCAAUAAAUUUUGUAUAGUUGAUUUUAAAACUAUACUUUAAAAGUUAUUUUAUAUGUGAUUUUUAAUUAUGUGUGCUUGACUAAAUUCAAUAGUAUAAGUAGACAAGUUGGCCAAAAAUAAUCUUUGAGGGUAGUGGUUGUUCUAACUGGGAAAAUGGAAUUACCAUCAUUUAUUUGGCACUGAGUUCUAUGUAGAGUUGCUUUGCAUUCAGGCAUAAACUAGAGGUCUUAAAAUUAGCAUGUUCAGCAUAGAGCUCUUGCUGUUUUUCCCUGCCAAGUUUCUUCCCAAGUCUUCUUAACUGGCCCCUCGGUGGCUGCCCUCCUAUGCUAGAGUCUUUCCAGGGCUAUCCUGUUUGGGUGCAUUUUAGCUCCCAUCAGUCCUGAGGGUGCAGACCUUCAGUGGCAUCCCAUCCUACUCUGAGUAAAAACCUCGUCUUCCUACGACUCUGAAAGCUCUACAGGAUUGGGCUGCUUCUGCCACCCAUCCCAUGAAUUAUAACCCCCCUUCUCUGAUGCUCCUCACAUAUGUCAAGUACACACUUGGCUCUGGGUCUUUGCUUCUGCUGCUUGCUUGUCUGGAAUGCUUUUCAGCUAAGGGUAUUUUUAAAUAACAAUAGCAGCAACAGCAAACUCCUUCCCAGGACUCCCUGUCCCUCUUAUCCUGCUUUAUUUACCCCACAGCCUUUGUCUUCAUCUGACAAUUUGUGUAAUUAUGUGCAUAUUUGAUUAUUGACUUCAUUGGUUACAUUCACUGCU